UACGGGGGGGGUAAGCGUUGUUCGGAAUUACUGGGCGUAAAGGGCUCGUAGGCGGCCAACUAAGUCAGACGUGAAAUCCCUCAGCUUAACUGGGGAACUGCGUCUGAUACUGGAUGGCUUGGAUCCGGGAGAGGGAUGCGGAAUUCCAGGUGUAGCGGUGAAAUGCGUAGAGAUCAAGAGGAACACUCGUGGCGAAAGCGAGCUACUGGACAAUUCCUGACGCUGAGGCUCGAAGGCUAGGGUAGCGAAAGGG
Molecule: ribosomal RNA, 253 nt
Filed under: uncultured bacterium
Lineage: Bacteria
Description: partial 16S ribosomal RNA
Rfam family: Bacterial small subunit ribosomal RNA
Source: RNAcentral